GGCAAGAUGGCCGAGUUGGUUAUGGCGCCAGGUUAAGGUCCUGGUGGAGCAAUCCCCCUGGGUUCGAGUCCCAGUCUUGUCA
Molecule: transfer RNA, 82 nt
Filed under: Cerataphis brasiliensis yeast-like symbiont
Lineage: Eukaryota; Fungi; Ascomycota
Description: tRNA-Leu (AAG) (tRNA-Leu-AAG-1-1)
Rfam family: tRNA
About the family: Transfer RNA (tRNA) molecules are approximately 80 nucleotides in length. Their secondary structure includes four short double-helical elements and three loops (D, anti-codon, and T loops).
Source: RNAcentral